ACUGUUACGUUAUUACCUCUUUUAUGCUUUCUGCUGCCGGCAAGGGUGUUGAAGACCAGCACAGCUGCACUCCUAGAAGUCCUGAUGCAGAUGAGAUUACUGUGCAAGUACAAUUUUGAAAAGAUUUUUAAGUCUAGCAACAGGACAUACACAAGUGAUGGAAAUAACUGAAAGCAAAUCUUAAUGAGCAACAGUCUUCUGGAAGCAGCAUCUAAUCCUGUUUUUCUACCACCAGUCCUAAGACAGAGGGAAACAAAUGAAAUUCCUCCUUUGUCAUCUGAUAUGAAAUACAUUUUACUUUGAUUUUGAUUUUUUUUUAACCAUUGAUCCUUAAGUGGAAUUUUUAAACUUUGACCUCUAAAUGAGCCAAGACUGACAAGACUUCCUCCAGUGUCAAGAAAGGGCCUGAUAUCUGUUUUUGGAAGCACAAUACUAAAUGAGGGACUGAAGAAGAUGUUGGUUUCAGGAAAUGUAAUAAAGUUCCGUGAGAUCCUUUCCUCCAUGUGUCAGUGAGUUUCUGCCUCAGGUGAUGAGAGACCCACACUGGAAAAAGUAACAAAGUGACUGGGGCUAUGUUUGUACAGUGGUGUCAAAAGUAGUCUUAUUGAAUUCCAUGCUGUAAUUCCUGGAAAUGUCCAAACCAAACAAUCAAUGCAUUAUUUGUUGACAUGUUUAGUUGAGGCCUCCAGUUUUUAACCUGAGUGCUACAACUCCUCCAGUUUUCUGCUCCAAGGAAGAAGCUGUGAAUUGGAAUAAGACCGAAAUUUUGUUUUGUUUUGUUUUGCUAUUUGACAUGUGACAGAAAAGAUACAUAGUAAUGGCAGUGGUCUGUUAUCAUGUACUGAGUGGAACAGUGUUACCAUAUGAGGCCACAAAUGUGUUUUUUUUAAUAUUGUAAGGUGAUAUUUGUGGUGGUGUUGGGUUGUAUGCAUGUGGAUGUCUGAAGCCUCUGGCUGUGGGUGGCUGAGUUGCUGUGAUGUCAUGGAAUGUUUGUGAACAUUCUAACUUGGAAGGAAUGGCACUGAAGAUAAUAGAAUCCCCACAAACAGACCAACUUUUGUGAUGAGAAUAAAGAUCAGUUUUGAUGGGACUCUUCUUUUCAAGAGGCAGAGAACACAAGGGGUGGAGGAAAGAAAGGGCAGAGAGAAGGGGCUGAAAAGCAGAGACCAACAGAGCUUUUUCUUCUUCUAAUCUAGCACACAGGGAUUUGGGGGGAUUCCGUGGAAGGGUUAAACCUCACUUCCCACAUUCAUAUCCAGUUAUAAGAAAAAGGGGUUUGUGCCAAGUAUUUUUUAACCUAAAAAUGAUGUGGAUGCUAACCACAGGGGAAAAGUAACAUCAAAUUUGACACUGAGGCAAAGAUUAGCCAAAAAGACAUGAGGUCUUGCUUGAGUAGCUAGAAAGCAGGCUAGGCCACUUGGAACCUUGUGGUCAGGGCAUAAGGAAAUGGGUGUUUAUACUCCUUACCAGAGUGUAUUACUUUGUGUGACAUGCAGGGUGUUCAGAGCAUAUUUUUUCCUAUAUGUGCAAUUCAGCACAAAUAGCUGUAAUGGAAUCUGAUGACAGCAAUUCUCACUGCGUGAUUUUCAGACAUGUGAGAACGGGCAACCAUGUUAUGUGAAUGGCUCAAACAGAGAAGUUGCUUCCUGCACUUAAUGGAUAGAAAAGGAGCAAUUGAAUAUGCACAAUCCGUUAACCCACAUAUGAAUGAGAAUCCCCUAUAAGGGAAAUUCCCUCUCCAGAUGAUUCCAGUUGGAAUGUAGGGUAGUAGGAUCCUGGAAUUGGUAUCAAGAUAGCCUUGGGCACCUUCCAAAUUUGAUGGCUGACAAAACUCUAGUAACUUUUAGUUUACAAACCUUAGUGUACAAACAGCCACAAACCUUCAUUGUAUUUUCAGUUACUUUUCCCGUUAUCCUGGACAUGGGUAUUAUUGCACUGCUGUCAAGUUUCUCUUGUGCAUGUCUGAAUGCAACCUUAUAUGUUGUUUAUCAAGGAAUACACAUGUUUUGCUGGUGAACUGUUUGCUGGACUAUAACUCCAUGCUAUUAAGAUGGCCAGGGUUACUAAACAUGUGUGCACAUCUACUUCAGUGGGCUGAGUCCUCCUGACCACCAUUGAAUUAGUCAGCACACAUUGGUGAAUGUGUGAAAUUCCUCUACUUAAGUGCAUUGUGUUUGAUCUGUGAUGAUUCAGUCCCACAUGCAAGUCGUGCCUUGAUGAGCAAGGGAUGAGCAUGCAUGUGUGAAUCAGCCAUGUGUUGCUUAAAAGCAAAGGCAACAAUAAUGCCCAAGAUCGCUGCCCAUGAGCAACAGUCAAAACAGUGCUAGGCAACAGUUGCCAAGUGGCACCAAGGAAGUGGUAGUUAGUUGAGUGAUGCCUCUUGCUUGGUUUCCCAAUUGCUGUGCUAAAGGUACCUUUUUCAUUAAGUAGUUAGAUGCAUUUCAAUUUUUAUUGCUAUUUUUAAAAAGUGAAUAGAUCUCACUAGCAUUUCUUUAUUUGCAAGUUAUGGCAUUGGGGAUACCAAGGUUAGUUUCUCAUAUCACAGGAAAUUUCUACAUUGCAAUGUAAACAGGCCAUAGCUGUCAACUUUUCCUUUUCUUGCAAGGAAUCCUUUUCAGAUUAAGGGAAUUCCCCUUUAAAAAAGGGGAAAGUUGACAGCUAUGUAACAGGCAUCAAAACAUGCCUGAGGGUGGAUAUAGGAAAUGCACAGUGCACAUCUGUGGAGCUAUAGCAGACCUAAGAUCACAGUCUGCUAUUUAGUUUGGAUAGGGUCCCCGCCCCCUGCUUCUCUGAAGAUAAAUAAUUGCCCACCUCCCAUCUUUCAUUCAUGAAAUCAGCAGCCAUGUAAUGCUUACAAAGCAACUGUACCCUCAUUAGAAACUGGCAUUGUUAAUAUGAUGCUUGGGGUUCUACUUCUUUUGCAUCAAAAGUAGCUAAACCACAAGAUAAAAUUAAAAUCAAUACCCAGAAGCUACCAGGAAGUUAAAGAAUGAAAAGAAGCCUUGAGAAGAAUGUGUGUGGCAUGGGAAUGAAACAACCAUAAAAGUGAAUGCUGCUAUAAUUUUGCUUUGGCCAGUAUAAACACUUCAGGCAGCCAGUUUUCUGGAAAGGAAUCCUAGCAUUUUUCAACCAUUGUAGUCCUUUUUACGUUUCUACUGGCCUUUCCCUGUCAGUUGGUCAGCAUUAUUCUGUGUCUCCUUCCUUCCUAGCUAGCAGCCUUUGAGAAAUGCCUGCUGGCUAAGUUCUGCAAGGCUCAAAAUUCUCUGGAAAACUACAGCCAUUUGCAUAGGGAGUUCAACGCCAGAUAAAUGACUACAAGCAGCCUGAACAAAGCUAAGCAGUGUCUGCCAGGGAAGUGUUAGCCAGUAGAAUGAUAGCCGUUGGCUGUUCCCCCAAUUUUUAACUACAUUUCAUGAAGCAGUCAGAUGCAUUUGCUUUUUUAAAAAAGGUUUUAAUCAUUCUCAACUUUUCUUUUUUAGCUGGUCCAGCAUCAUCUGUUACUGGUUUAGGAAAACAGGAAACGAGAGCUGUGCUGGGGAAAGCCAUGGCCCCAACCUUUGUGUGUCUUAUUCACUCUCAAAGUGGGAUGGCAGCAUUUUUAGACGGCUUGGGUCACAUGCUGCCUGUGCGCAAGGGUCAAAUUAGCUAUUUCACACACAGAUUCUUUGGUGGCUUCACCACAAGUUGCUUUUCCAGAGAUUUUUUUGGCACAGAUGUGCAGUCUUGCAAAUGCUAUUGCCAUGGGCAUAGCCAGGAUUUAUGUUUGGGGGGAUAGGCUUUAUGUUAGGAGGGGGCAGAACCUCGGUUAGUUUAGUAUUUUUAUUGAUUUACUUGAUUAUGGGUGGGGGCAAAUGCCCCCCCCAUUAUCUAUGUCCAUGGCUAUUCCUGAAUUUCAUAGUUACACUAAUUAAAUGCCCAACUGUGUAUCAGGUUGCUACCCACUUAUGUUGCCCAUAUAACUCAGUGUGAAGCAAGGAAGUCUGUCCUCAUAGCCCUGCCCUGAGUUCCAUUUCAUACAUCAGUUGAUAAAAUUGUUGAUUAAAUCUACAUAUGGGAAAGUCAAUAUUUCUGAAGCCAGAAGCAUUAUUUGUUUUCAGAUAUUGCACGCAUAGGAGGCAUGCAAGAGAAAAGGGGGGAUGCCUCUUUUAAGGUAGUGCUUGCCAUCUGCAGUUUUUAUAAGCACUUGUAUUUUUUUAAUAAAAAAACCCAACAACAACUUGUUACAUUAACCACUUUCUUGAAUAUCAAAGACCUACUGUAGAAUGACAGAAUGGCGAUCUAUGGUAGUGAUGGUGGAGACAGUUUUAUACUGUUUGGAUAGGCUUGGGAGAGCCCAGUAGCUAUAGAGUAGGUAAGGGUAUGAUAGUCUAGGAAAGGAUCCAAGGGGGGAAAGUAGGUCCUGAAAGCAGAUAGGGAGAGGGAGAUUGCAGAGGAGGCGAGACUAGUCUGGGCAUAAGAAACAGCAGGGCUAGAAGCAUGGAGAUGGGAGCAAGAGAGGGAGAGGAAUUGGGCUCUGCAACAGAUAGUAUUUUAGAAGCCAGGUGCAGAUGGCAUGUAUGCUUGAAAUGCAAAUACAGUAUAUAUCAGAAACCUGCAAGUACAGCAGCUGCAGUGUCUGUUUUUUUAAAAUCUGUGUAGGAAUUGUUGGGUACUCAAGGCUUCUUUUAAAACAACUUUUUCAUGCUUGUAUUGUUUUUGUUAUUUGAAGGCUGCAUACCAAGUAGAUUGGAGCAGAAAUUUUUGAGGAUGUUAUUAUGAUAAAAUGUUGGAGUUUUUUCUUCUUCUUUUUUCCUGCCUCUAAACUGUAGAAUUUCUGUGUGCAUGUGCACACAGAAAUAUUCCACAAAAUGCCCCCCACUCCCAAGUCUGCUGCCUGCAAAUAAGAGUGGAGAAUUAUGGGAGGUCAUUUAUGCUCAGCCCUAAGAACUAGAAAAAUAAUGUAUGAAGAGGAAAAAAUGUGCACCACUAGAGGGCACCUUUGUUUCAGAUUUGGCAGAUGAGACUAAUGUCCUGAGCAUUCUGUAGUGUAGGCCACACACUUGACUGGUGAAGGGUUCUGAGCAGCAGAACUGUGUUUGCAAAAUGUAAAUUCUAUAUGGGAUUAAAAACACCCGUGGAAAGGAGGCCCUUUUCUGUCUCCCAUGAAAAAGUUGCUGCAAGUAUCAUUUGAUCUUUCCUGUUUCCUCAGCUGUGCCUCCCCACUGUCACGAAAGGGCACGCCCAUUAAGAACAUUUCAUCCAGCCUGCUAAAGUUGGCUCUGCUAUUUUUAUUGCUGAUUUAGCUGCCAAUAAAAGGACAUCAGUUUCUAAAAAUGUGCACCAAAGGUUUCCCCAACCUGGUGCCCUCCGGCUCUGGGUGUUUGAGAUUAUAACUCCCAUCGGAGCCAGCUAGCUAGGUCCACCACAUCUACAGCAGAUGUUUGGGGAAGGCGGUUGUGCAUGUAUUACAAUUGCAUAAAAAGCUGAGUUUGGGGACAAUCUACUAAAGGAACUUUUCUGUCACUUUCAUAGCAUGAGAGAAUAAUUACAGGUGAAUGAAUGAAACACUACAGCAAGGAGGGAUAAUGAAUGGGUUUAAGAACAGAGUACAGCAUCUGGUACCAUAUCAUACCAUGAGAGGCACUAUUCUUAGCUUGCUCUUGCUUAGAUC
Non-coding RNA from Podarcis muralis (Common wall lizard), 5650 nucleotides. Lineage: Eukaryota; Metazoa; Chordata; Lepidosauria; Squamata; Lacertidae. The record is from RefSeq and is a predicted model, not a curated record.